UUAAUAUGUGUUGAUUAGUUCAAAAGAAACUUACGUAAGUUGGAUCAUGAAUUUUUUAUUUGUAGUAUAAAAAAUGAAAAUUUUUAAACAACAAACUAGAAAAUGUUGGAUUUUGGUUUUUAAUUUUAGAUUUUUUUUAUUUCUAAAUUCCAAUUUUCUUAAAAAAAAUCUAAAUUUUGUUAAUGUUUUCUUUUAUUUUAAUUUUUUCUUACCUAUGAAUUGAUUAAAAGCAAACUUAAAUCACUAAAAUAAUAUAUAAAAAAAUCAGUAAAUAAUACCAAUAGAUUAUUAACAAAAAAAAGAUAAACUUUACAUAAAAGUAAAUUUAAAUACUUAAGUUAAUUUUAUCGACAAGUUUUAGAAUUGUUCUUAUUAGAAAUUUAUUUUUGUAUUAUAUAUAUUAAACAGAUGAUUUUUACUAAAUCUGAUUUGUUUCUAGUAUUUAUUGUUUUAUUUGUUUUCAUGUAUUGCAUAAAUAUAGCAAAAAUUUAAUUUAAAAUAAAAAAAUUGAAAAACUGUCGGUAGAUUUUGAAGAAACCAUAAAAACUUGAAGUUUGGUUUUUGUUUAUAAAAUACAGUUAUUUGGAAAAUCUAGUUUCCCUAGAUUAUAGGAAAUCUAUCUUUCUAAAAGUUUGAUUGUCUAGAAAAUGGUUUUUAGAAAAACACAAAAGCCAAAAACUACUUCAAAAAUGUAUAUUUAAAGUUUUCCACAAUAUUUUUUUUUUAAAAGCUGUUCUAUUUUAUUUUAAUUAACAUAUUAUUUUGUUAAAUAUGAUAAUAAUUAUUUAAAAAUACAAAUAAACUAUAAAUUUUACAAAGAUAUGCAUUCGAAAUAUAAAACAAAUUUUUAAAUAUUAAGCUAUUAUAAGAUGAUUCUAAUGACAUUUUUUAUGAAAACUACUAUUUUUAAUUUUUCUAGAAAUUCACCAUUUAAAUGAAUUUAAAUUAAUCCAAAAUAGAAUAAAAGUAAAAUUAAUUUCUCAAAGACUAAUUACUCUUAAAAAUGUGGAAAAGCUUAAUUCCACUCAUUUGAUAUUUGUCUCAUUCAAAUUAUCUCACCAUAACCAUUUACUUCUCUACAGAUAUGAAAGGAAUUGAAAGUUACUCUACAUCGCCCUUCGUUGGAUAUGAUUCUACUUAGGGGUUGACUGGUUAACGCAAUAACAAAAUUUUCUUUGUACUCGACAAUUUUCUAAAGCCAAUACAAAUAUGAAAAUAGUUGCAAAUACUGUACAUCGUUAACCUACUUUUUUUUAUAAAAAAAAAAAAUCUUGUCAUCAACCUGAUUACUUAAACAGAUCUAAGAUCCAUUCUCUACUUAACUAGCCAAACUCAAUAUAUUACUUAGAUUUAUUGUUUGUUAAGGCGUUAGGUUUUUGAUAUUAACUUACACGUGAAUGAGAUCCUAAUUAGGUCUGACAAAGUAUCAACAUGAAACCCCACUCUUGGUUUACUUUAAAUUAUUUCUCACGGGAAACGCAUUAACCGGAUUUAUUACUUAAGUACUUUAGUUCAUGUGUUGCUUGCAUCGAUAUGUUUAGACCACCUCCAACGGUGGCUUUAACUAGAAGUUCUAAAAGAAAAAACAAAAAAAUAAAAAUGAGAUAAAUGAGCAAAACCGGUUCUUAAUAUAACACUUCUAGAAUCAGUAAAAACUCCAUAUGUGCCUCUUUGUUAUUGGCUAAAACAAAAAGGGGGAAAAUCUGACCUUCUCUUUCUUCUUCUCCGUCAAUGUCUUGUUUUUUUGGUCUGAGAAAUUUCUUUGUCAAUGUUCAGAUGUUUUGAGAAAUCUCUCCAAAUCAUCACACAAGAUCAAACACAAGAUCAACCGUUUGUUGGAUGAGAUGCUGAGCUUGGAGAAACAAAGGCCUCAAUCGUCAUCAUCGGAGGAGAUUGGAACAAAUGACGAGAAUCAAGCCUGGACUAUCGGUGAUCAUCUAACCACUUGUGAAAGAUGGAUGUGUGGGGAAUCAUAGAGGUAUCUCGGGUUGCGAAUGAGCAGUGUUCUUGGCCUAGUGUUUGUGCAUUUUGCAAAGAAGUAUGUAUUGUAAUAUGUAAUACAUUUGAAAGUGGUGCACCUUUUAUAUGUUUGAUGUUAUUUGAACCUGAGUAUUAUAUAAAUAAUAAAGUUUUUGUGAAAA
Long non-coding RNA from Brassica napus (rape), 2141 nucleotides. RefSeq lists it as uncharacterized. NCBI's taxonomy places the organism in Eukaryota, Viridiplantae, Streptophyta, Magnoliopsida, Brassicales, Brassicaceae. The transcript is spliced from 2 exons. The record is from RefSeq and is a predicted model, not a curated record.